UUAAACCUCUUCCAGAGUAUCAAUUGGAGGGAAAGUCUGGUGCCAGCAGCCGCGGUAAUUCCAGCUCCAACAGCGUAUAUUAAAAUUGUUGCAGUUAAAAAGCUCGUAGUUGAAUUUCUGCUGCAUUGCAUUUUCUCUUAUACGAGUUUUUGCAUUGUGGCUUAUUUCGGUUAUAAAAUUUAUUUUAUUUCCGGAUAUUUACUUUGAGAAAAUUAGAGUGCUCAAAGCAGGCUUUUGCCUUGAAUAGUUUAGCAUGGAAUAAUAAAGUAGGACUUUGGUUCUAUUUUGUUGGUUUUAGGUACCAAAGUAAUGGUUAAUAGGAACAGUUGGGGGCAUUCGUAUUUAACUGUCAGAGGUGAAAUUCUUAGAUUUGUUAAAGACGAACUACUGCGAGAGCAUUUGCCAAGGAUGUUUUCAUUAAUCAAGAACGAAAGUUAGGGGGUCGAAGACGAUCAGGUACCGUCGUAGUCCUAACCAUGAACUAUGCCGACUAGAGAUUGGAGGUCGUCAGUUUUUACGACUCCUUCAGCACCUUGAGAGAAAUCAAAGUAUUUGGGUUCUGGUGGGAGUUUUGGCGCUGGGUUGACAACUU
This 592-nucleotide ribosomal RNA is filed under the name Theileria sp. RNAcentral describes it as "SSU rRNA". It matches the Rfam family "Eukaryotic small subunit ribosomal RNA", at positions 525 to 1145 of the family's 1831-position model. The record is from RNAcentral. Lineage: Eukaryota; Apicomplexa; Aconoidasida; Piroplasmida; Theileriidae.